This 42-nucleotide non-coding RNA is filed under the name Schistosoma mattheei. The record is from RNAcentral. Lineage: Eukaryota; Metazoa; Platyhelminthes; Trematoda; Strigeidida; Schistosomatidae.
ACUGUGACGAGUCCCGAAUAGGACGAAACGCGCGUUCUGAAU